AUAUUAUUAGUUAGCAUUAUUGCAAUGUCUAAAAAAUUCUGUCGAGGAAAGGGGUUAGGUUAUAUAAUUGCGCGUCAACAAGGAUAAAUCCUUAUCGGAAAGCCCCUCUUUCCUGGGAAUGAUCUGGUUGUUAAUAUUGUGAGCUUAUAAUAUUAAUUAUGAAUAAUUAUUAUGUGGUGGAUAUUGGUUUAAUUUUGAUAUAAAUGAAGGAAUUUAGCAUAAAAUAUUUGUUGAAAGUUUGACAAUUAUCUUCUCCGAUAAAAUAUUCAUUCAAAUAUAUUAUAAUAAUAUUACAUUAUAAUAAUGUGAUAAUAUAAUAAUAUAAUUUUUUUGUAAUUUAAAUGGUAAUAUUAUUAUUAUAAUAUAUAAUUUUCAGCAUGUGAAUAAAAGUGGAGUGAAUGUUAUUAUUUUAGUUUUGAAUUUAUUUUCAAAACAUUCCGUGCACAUUUUGAAUUCUCUCCUGCAUAUUUUUCCAAAGUGGAGGCUUACUUGAAUUAUUCCUCUUGCAAAUCUUUUUCCAAAUUUAGUGGGCCCUCAACCAUGGAAAAUGAGAGGUUAGGCAGAGAAUGAAAGUUAGGCGGAGAAGAAAGUUUGGCAAAGUUAGACAAAGAUAUUUAAUUUUUACUCCGAGGUUGCACUAUAAAAGGAGAGGCAACCUCCAUCCUAAACACACC
RNAcentral lists this long non-coding RNA (674 nucleotides) under Panax ginseng (ginseng). RNAcentral's name for it is "long non-coding RNA (PGIN_LNC013423)". Lineage: Eukaryota; Viridiplantae; Streptophyta; Magnoliopsida; Apiales; Araliaceae. The record is from RNAcentral.